CAGUCGCCACGGGAAUACGUAGGGUGCAAGCGUUAAUCGGAAUUACUGGACGUAAAGCGUGCGCAGGCGGUUCGCUAAGACAGAUGUGAAAUCCCCGGGCUUAACCUGGGAACUGCAUUUGUGACUGGCGGGCUAGAGUAUGGCAGAGGGGGGUAGAAUCCCACGUGUAGCAGUGAAAUGCGUAGAGAUGUGGAGGAACACCGAUGGCGAAGGCAGCCCCCUGGGCCAAUACUGACGCUCAUGCACGAAAGCGUGGGGAGCAAACAGGAUUAGAUACCCGUGUAGUCCCUGUCUCUUAUAA
RNAcentral lists this ribosomal RNA (301 nucleotides) under uncultured bacterium. RNAcentral describes it as "partial 16S ribosomal RNA". It matches the Rfam family "Bacterial small subunit ribosomal RNA", at positions 509 to 809 of the family's 1533-position model. The record is from RNAcentral.